UAGGAAACUGUAAAAGGAUUAUAGCUAUUUUACAAAUAGUAUUAUUUAUUCUUAA
RNAcentral lists this transfer RNA (55 nucleotides) under Diximermis spiculatus. RNAcentral describes it as "tRNA-Val". Lineage: Eukaryota; Metazoa; Nematoda; Enoplea; Mermithida; Mermithidae. The record is from RNAcentral.